Molecule: ribosomal RNA, 496 nt
Filed under: uncultured bacterium
Lineage: Bacteria
Description: partial 16S ribosomal RNA
Rfam family: Bacterial small subunit ribosomal RNA
Source: RNAcentral
ACUCAAAGGAAUUGACGGGGGCCCGCACAAGCGGCGGAGCAUGUGGCUUAAUUCGAGGCAACGCGAAGAACCUUACCUAGGCUUGACAUGCAGGGAAAUCCGGCAGAGAUGUCGGGUCCGCAAGGGCUCUGCACAGGUGGUGCAUGGUUGUCGUCAGCUCGUGUCGUGAGAUGUUGGGUUAAGUCCCGCAACGAGCGCAACCCUCGUCCUAUGUUGCCAGCGGUUCGGCCGGGGACUCAUAGGAGACUGCCGGGGUCAACUCGGAGGAAGGUGGGGAUGACGUCAAAUCAUCAUGCCCCUUAUGUCUAGGGCUGCACACAUGCUACAAUGGCCGGUACAAAGGGCUGCGAAGCCGUGAGGUGGAGCGAAUCCCAAAAAGCCGGUCUCAGUUCGGAUCGGGGUCUGCAACUCGACCCCGUGAAGUCGGAGUCGCUAGUAAUCGCAGAUCAGCAACGCUGCGGUGAAUACGUUCCCGGGCCUUGUACACACCGCCCGU